GUGAUUAUUUUUUCCUGUUGUGCCUCCUUACAGACUGAGUGUCUGACACAUGUACAGAGCCCACAAGCUGCCAUGAGCUAUUUCUACAUGUAACUAGGUGACUACGCCUUGCAGCUUCCCCUACGUUAUAGGCUUUUUAACUUCAUUAUGUGAUCAGGCAUGUUGCCAACUUUGAAGGCCAUUCCACACAUCUGAGUGAUCUGGCUUGCCGUCCAGGUGAUUUAAGUGCCAAUCUUGAUAAAGGUCCGCAUAAGGACCGAAACGUCGAUGAAAUACGGCAUCAACAGUGAACCCGAAUAAAAAUAUACUGAAUUUACAAGUGACUUCAGAGACUAAUUUCUGGGCGUGAGUGCACCUUCCACCUAGGUGGUUGUUGUGGUAUAUUGGUGGCCUCUCUGGUCAUUAGGAGCACCCGCCGUCGUUAUUACUUUUGAUGAGAGUGCAGGAUCUUCC
Molecule: long non-coding RNA, 453 nt
Organism: Pseudophryne corroboree (corroboree frog)
Lineage: Eukaryota; Metazoa; Chordata; Amphibia; Anura; Myobatrachidae
Exons: 3
Source: RefSeq, a predicted model, not a curated record